AUGGUGUUUGGAGGUCGACUGGCACUGACCGGGUUGGUCCUCGGAUGGGUGGUGGUUGUGUGGACACGGAGAUCCUUCUUCCUCAUCGUCGGUAUGAUUUCCUAUUGCGUUUCUUCUUCCUUCUUUCUGUUGUUGCUGGAGGGAUGUCAUGCUUUGCCCGGGCAGUUGGCUCGACCGCGGCGGCGGAACCAUAUCCCAGUUCUCUUUCAUGUGGAAGGGGCAUAUACAUCGGUACGCAAAGCCACAGAUGGCGAAGACUGGUGCAUGCAUGUUGGAUGCAUGUGUGUGUCCUUGUCUUUUCGGUGCCGGAGUUAA
This 315-nucleotide ribosomal RNA is filed under the name Triticum aestivum (bread wheat). Its description in RNAcentral is "partial small subunit ribosomal RNA". The record is from RNAcentral. Lineage: Eukaryota; Viridiplantae; Streptophyta; Magnoliopsida; Poales; Poaceae.